CAGCCGCCGCGGGAACACGAAGGGUGCAAGCGUUACUCGGAAUUACUGGGCGUAAAGCGUGCGUAGGUGGUGGUUUAAGUCCGUUGUGAAAGCCCUAGGCUCAACCUGGGAAUUGCAGUGGAUACUGGAUCACUAGAGUGUGGUAGAGGAUAGUGGAAUUUCCGGUGUAGCAGUGAAAUGCGUAGAGAUCGGAAGGAACAUCUGUGGCGAAGGCGACUAUCUGGGCCAACACUGACACUGAGGCACGAAAGCGUGGGGAGCAAACAGGAUUAGAUACCCCAGUAGUCCCUGUCUCUUAUAC
This 301-nucleotide ribosomal RNA is filed under the name uncultured bacterium. Its description in RNAcentral is "partial 16S ribosomal RNA". It matches the Rfam family "Bacterial small subunit ribosomal RNA", at positions 509 to 807 of the family's 1533-position model. The record is from RNAcentral.